GAAAUUCCUUGUCGGGUAAGUUCCGACCUGCACGAAUGGAGUAACGACUUCCCUACUGUCUCAACCAUGAACUCGGCGAAAUUGCAGUACGAGUAAAGAUGCUCGUUUCGCGCAGCAGGACGGAAAGACCCCGUGACCUUUACUAUAGUUUGGUAUUGGUGUUCGGUGUGGCUUGUGUAGGAUAGGUGGGAGACUGUGAAGUCAUCACGCUAGUGGUGGUGGAGUCGUUGUUGAAAUACCACUCUGGUCAUAUUGGAUGUCUAACUUCGGCCCAUGAUCUGGGUCAGGGACAGUGCCUGAUGGGUAGUUUAACUGGGGCGGUUGCCUCCUAAAGAGUAACGGAGGCGCCCAAAGGUUCCCUCAGCCUGGUUGGCAAUCAGGUGUUGAGUGUAAGUGCACAAGGGAGCUUGACUGUGAGACUGGCAGGUCGAGCAGGGACGAAAGUCGGGACUAGUGAUCCGGCGGUUCAUUGUGGAAUGGCCGUCGCUCAACGGAUAAAAGGUACCUCGGGGAUAACAGGCUGAUCUUGCCCAAGAGUCCAUAUCGACGGCAUGGUUUGGCACCUCGAUGUCGGCUCGUCGCAUCCUGGGGCUGGAGUUGGUCCCAAGGGUUGGGCUGUUCGCCCAUUAAAGCGGUACGCGAGCUGGGUUCAGAACGUCGUGAGACAGUUCGGUCGCUAUCCGCUGCGUGCGUUGGAGAAUUGUGGAGGCCUGUCCUUAGUACGAGAGGACCGGGACGGACGAACCUCUGGUAUGUCAGUUGUACCGCCAGGUGCAUGGCUGAUUGGCUACGUUCGGGAGAGAUAACCGCUGAAAGCAUCUAAGCGGGAAGCUUGCUUCGAGAUGAGUUCUCCUUGCCCUUUUGUUGGGUGUGAGGCUCCCUGUAGAUGACGGGGUUGAUAGGCCAGGUAUGGAAGCCGGGACUGAAGACUGGUGGAGUUGACUGGUACUAAUAGGCCGAAGACUUAUCUAC
This 972-nucleotide ribosomal RNA is filed under the name Mycobacteroides abscessus subsp. abscessus. RNAcentral describes it as "bacterial LSU rRNA". It matches the Rfam family "Bacterial large subunit ribosomal RNA", at positions 1961 to 2925 of the family's 2925-position model. The record is from RNAcentral. Lineage: Bacteria; Bacillati; Actinomycetota; Actinomycetes; Mycobacteriales; Mycobacteriaceae.